GACGAACGCUGGCGGCGUGCUUAACACAUGCAAGUCGAACGGAAAGGCCCUGCUUUUGUGGGGUGCUCGAGUGGCGAACGGGUGAGUAACACGUGAGUAACCUGCCCUUGACUUUGGGAUAACUUCAGGAAACUGGGGCUAAUACCGGAUAGGAGCUCCUGCUGCAUGGUGGGGGUUGGAAAGUUUCGGCGGUUGGGGAUGGACUCGCGGCUUAUCAGCUUGUUGGUGGGGUAGUGGCUUACCAAGGCUUUGACGGGUAGCCGGCCUGAGAGGGUGACCGGCCACAUUGGGAAUUAGAUCAGGCCGAGACUCCUCCGGGAGGCAGCAGUGAGGAAUAUUGCACAAUGGGCGGAAGCCUGAUGCAGCAACGCCGCGUGCGGGAUGACGGCCUGCGGUUUGUAAACCGCUUUCGCCUGUGACGAAGCGUGAGGGACGGUAAUGGGUAAAGAAGCACCGGAUAACUACGUG
Molecule: ribosomal RNA, 468 nt
Filed under: uncultured bacterium
Lineage: Bacteria
Description: partial 16S ribosomal RNA
Rfam family: Bacterial small subunit ribosomal RNA
Source: RNAcentral